Tachysurus fulvidraco (yellow catfish) is the source of this 2668-nucleotide long non-coding RNA. RefSeq lists it as uncharacterized. NCBI's taxonomy places the organism in Eukaryota, Metazoa, Chordata, Actinopteri, Siluriformes, Bagridae. The record is from RefSeq and is a predicted model, not a curated record. The transcript has 3 exons.
AUUUUUGUGAAGCAUUUGUUUUGGAAAAUAUUACCCCAGUGCAGAAAGGGAAGCGUCUAAAGAACACCACCUGUCAGUUUAGCAGCAGCCUCCAACCCAAAUCUGCAGCUGAGACAUCAGGAUUGUACAGUAUCAGGCCCUCAAUGCAACUGAAAUGCGCUAUAAGUGGAACCAGAGCGAUACCAUGCCUCUCAGACGAUGUGGUCCACACUGGAAGUGUUCCCAGGAUGAGUUCUGGAUCCACACACACCACAACCCUGACCAGGAUAAAGUGCUGCAUCUAAGAUGAAUGAAUGGCUAAACUGAAAGAAUAGAAGAGCAGAUUCUAAAAAAUACUUAAGUAAAUAAGGCGUCUCGGGCAUCAAGGCAGGAUACACCCUGGAUAGAGUGCCAACCCAUCGCAGGGCACACACACACUCUCUCACUCACUCACACACUAGGGACAAUUUUCCAGAGAUGCCAAUGAACCUACCAUGCAUGUCUUUGGACCGGGGGAGGAAACCGGAGUACCCGGAGGAAAUAUAUUCAGAAUAUAUAUGCAUCUUUCUAGCACCAUCUCUCUCUCUCUCGCUCUUUCUCUCUCCAUCAUCUCUAUCAUUUCUACACACACUUUUUUUUAAAAACACUGUCAUCAAUACAAUACAACCAAGAGAGAGACACAGAGAGCAAGAGAGAGAGAGAGAGACUCAUGAAUCAUGGAGGAGGGAGUAGAAUUGGUGAGAUGGUCAAAUUGAGAGUUUGAAGACUGUGGUGUCUGCUUGAUUUUAUGCUGGUUGAAAUGUCAGAAACUAAGCAAAAAAUGGCAAGUACAUUUGAAAAGGUAGAGAGAGAGAGGAGAUAUGGAUGUGGAUUCAGUGAGUGUAUUAAACUGAGAGUAAUCUAGUAAAAGGUAGAAAAGGAAAAAAGUAGAUAGACAAAGAGAAAAUAGUGUGUUACUGACAAAUGAACAGAUGUGUUGAACAGUAAAGAGCUGCAGGAGAAAGCGUAGUAGAAAUAAAGUAAAAGGUCAAAGAGAAUUAAAAUUGAAUUGGAAAAGAUAAAUGAUGGACAGAAGGUUAGAGUGUAAAAGUAUGACAAAGGAAGAGAGCUUCAUAAAUUGGGAUGUGUAUGGUAUAUGUUUGUGUCUGAUUGAAUAACAUUUAAAAUGUGCUUGAAACCUACAGUACUACAAAAUCUCAAGUGAACCACUAAAAACUGAGUUUAUUAGAUAAACCUGCCUUUAUCUUCAUAGACUGGCCUUUAAAUCAUGUAACCCACCACACAAGACACUUUAAUUGUCCACUAUUUGUAGGAACAAUUGCUGACCGGAACGUUUCUACUACAUUCAUCAACAGAGGGAGCAUCAUAGGAGCACCACUGAAGUAAUCUCAACCUGAAACACUUCACCCCUGAGCCACAGAGCACAUCAUGUGUUUCAUACGCUUUCUAUUCAGCAUCUUGAAGGUUGCUUUCUGAGGCAUAGUCCAAAUUAAGACAUUUAGAAAUACAUCUUUUCUGACUCAUUUCAUCACUGAAAACAUGCUUUUUUUUGUUGUUGUUGUUUGUUUGUUUUAAUGCUUUCACCAAAGUGGAUAAAUUUGUGGUUAAAUUCUGACCUUUUCUUUUCUAUAAGGAUCUGAACACUAAAGUAGGGACUUACCUGCUUAACAAGUGUGGCAUUUGCAGGAAGCCUGGACAAGAUAAGCAAAUAAAUAAAAUCAUUCUUACAGUAGGUUAUUCUGUUGAAACAUGUCUAGUAAAAGUGCGAUGUCUAUGUGGGCAGUAUAUUAUGGGCAGAAAAAAAACAUUGCAGAUGAUAAUGUUUCAGGUUUUUUCCCAUUUGGUGGGAUAUUACUGUACAGACCUUUUGCAUUUUAAAAUGCAAUUUUCACAUUGUCAUGUGAAUGAGGAAAUAUAUUGCCUUGUUAUCAUUAACAUAUGAUUUUUACAUGACAGACCAUACAGCAGGGUUUGUGUGUGUGUGUGUAUGUGUGUGUGUGUGUUAGCUAUGAAGUAAGCAUUAAGUAAUGUUGGGCCAAAAAAGUAAUUUCUCUUCAUUUCAAAUAAACAUAGUGUCAAAUUUAAAUAAAAAGCUCAUAGGUUAGACAACUCGGUGCUCUCACAGAAUGCUGUUUUCUAUCACAUGUGGAUGGGAAAUUUUUUGACUGAAUUUGAUUUUGUUUAAUAUCCUUUUAUGUUUUACUUGUUGGUCUUUAACUGGAGAGCCUGGGAGAGGAAUUGAGUACAUGGAUGAAGAUGAAGGCCGUAUGACUCUUACAGUUUAUGUACCACUCCUCCACAUGAAUCUUUUCUGCUUUACUGACCACAAUGAAGAAAAACACACACACACACACACACACACAGAGAGAGAGAGAGAGAUCCUAGAAAGUAAAUCCUAUUAACAUUGUCUGUAGAAUGUGGUUUUUCUCAUGUGAUUUACUAGUACAAAUAUCAUCUUUUUUCCUCUCCAUUCUUUUGUUUUUUUGCUCUGCUUUCUUUUUAAAAAUGUUUAACUUUUGUUGAACAGCAGAAAAAAAAAACACACUUUAUUCCUACACAAAUGAGAUGUCUGUGGACAAGCAUGCAGGGAUGUGGUGUCAGUGACAGACAUUGACCUUGAUGUUAAAACAUGUGACCCGGUUCUUUCCUGAUUCACUUAACUCACUAUAAUGCUGUAAUUUCUUCAAAA